Non-coding RNA from Podarcis muralis (Common wall lizard), 964 nucleotides. NCBI's taxonomy places the organism in Eukaryota, Metazoa, Chordata, Lepidosauria, Squamata, Lacertidae. The record is from RefSeq and is a predicted model, not a curated record.
CUAAGCUAGAUGGACCAGGGGCAUAAGGCAGCUUCCUCAGUGGAAUUUCAUUUUCUCCUCUUUUAAGCAUCCUGGCCAUCCACUUCCUUUGUUCUUUGCUGAGCGAAUUUCGGAUAAGCAUCGUAUUUGUGUCAUUGUAUCAUGACAUCAUUUUUGUGUGUGAGAGAGAUUCACCCCGAAAGUUGUUUGGCAGUCAGGUGUUCCACCCUUUCACUGUGCCAAAGAGUCUUGUGGCCGAGGGGUCACACUUCUCCAUACCAAACUGGUUCACAGUUAAAUCUGCCAUUAAAUCUAGUCCUGGUGUUGACACCCAAGUGGUAGGAAAGACUUCUCAUCCGCUUUGAUUGGUUUACCAGCGUGCAUCUCCUCUUGAGUAAUUACUUGGCCACAUCUGCAGCUGAUAACAUCCAAGCACUGUGGGGGGCUGCCUAGGAAGAACGUCCAAGCUACUGAAUAUGUAUCGGCAAUACUUGCAAGGCUACCACUGGGUUGCUGUUGGUUUCUGGGUGCAGUUCAAGGUGCUUCUCCUACUGUUUUUUAAAGCCCGAUUCCUUAAAGGGUACCUGAAGGAGCUCUGCUUCCUCCCAUAUGAACCUGCUGGUUCCUGGAGACCAGUGUCUUAAGGUCCAGCUCCUGGCACCUCACUGUCAUGGGUCAGGCAGGUGGUGAUUUGGGACAGGGUGUUUUCUGUGCUGGUGCCUUGCUGUUGUGAUACACUUUCAAGUGCAUCAACUUUUUUUUUUAAAUCAUGUUUUAGGUACCAAGUAACAACUGUAUUUCCCCCAACCCCCCUCACCUGUUUUUUGCUGUAUUUUGCGGCUGCUGCUAUUUGUCUUCCCUGCUUAGUUUGUAUUGUGCUUCUAUACUAUUUUAUUUUAGAUGGUAACUUGUCUUGCAGCCCUUGAGGUGAAUCGCAAAUGGUUUAAAGAAGAAAUAUUAAAAUAAAUGUUAACUCUGAUAGUUA